AGGAGCCGUAUGAGAUGAAAAUCUCAUGUACGGUUCUGUGGAGUGGUAGUAAGGUUGACUUAUCUGUCAAGUUUUCCACUAUCACCCCCAAAAAACCAAACUCUACAUUAUGUACAGUUCGCAGAGUACUAUUAACCUCUGGAUUUGAAAUCACUGCUAUUAUAU
This is a non-coding RNA of Helianthus annuus (common sunflower), 165 nucleotides long. NCBI's taxonomy places the organism in Eukaryota, Viridiplantae, Streptophyta, Magnoliopsida, Asterales, Asteraceae. The record is from Rfam.